CUACGGGAGGCUCCAGUGGGGAAUAUUGGACAAUGGGGGAAACCCUGAUCCAACAAUGCCGCGUGUGUGAAGAAGGCCUGCGGGUUGUAAAGCACUUUCGGUUGGGAGGACUGCUUCUAGCACUAAUAUUGUUGGAAGUUGACGUUACCUUCAGAAGAAGCACCGGCUAACUCCGUGCCAGCAGCCGCGGUAAUACGGAGGGUGCAAGCGUUAAUCGGAAUUACUGGGCGUAAAGCGCGCGUAGGCGGCUAGAUCAGUCGGGUGUGAAAGCCCCGGUCUUAACCUGGGAACUGCAUCCGUACUGUCUAGCUUGAGUACAGGAGAGGAGAGUGGAAUUCCACAUGUAGCGGUGAAAUGCGUAGAUAUGUGGAGGAACACCAAUGGCGAAGGCAGCUCUCUGGCCUGAUACUGACGCUGAGGUGCAAAAGCGUGGGGAGCAAACAGGAUUAGAUACCCGCGUAGUC
RNAcentral lists this ribosomal RNA (464 nucleotides) under uncultured bacterium. RNAcentral describes it as "partial 16S ribosomal RNA". It matches the Rfam family "Bacterial small subunit ribosomal RNA", at positions 339 to 795 of the family's 1533-position model. The record is from RNAcentral.